CUUGCUUUUUGCUGACGAGUGGCGAACGGGUGCGUAACGCGUAUGCAACCUACCUUCUUCUGAGGAAUAGCCCAGAGAAAUUUGGAUUAAAACCUCAUGAUAAUAUUUAUUCGCAUGUUUAAAUAUUUAAAAUUUCGAUGGAAGAAGAUGGGCAUGCGUAACAUUAGUUUGUUGGUGAGGUAAUGGCUCACCAAGACUACGAUGUUUAGGGGGUCUGAGAGGAUGAUCCCCCACACUGGUACUGAGACACGGACCAGACUCCUACGGGAGGCAGCAGUGAGGAAUAUUGGUCAAUGGACGAAAGUCUGAACCAGCCAUGCCGCGUGAAGGAUGACUGCCCUACGGGUUGUAAACUUCUUUUGUAUAGGAAGAAACCCCUCUACGUGUAGAGGGUUGACGGUACUAUUCGAAUAAGCACCGGCUAACUCCGUGCCAGCAGCCGCGGUAAUACGGAGGGUGCGAGCGUUAUCCGGAAUUAUUGGGUUUAAAGGGUGCGUAGGCGGAAAUUUAAGUCAGUGGUG
This 521-nucleotide ribosomal RNA is filed under the name uncultured Bacteroidota bacterium. Its description in RNAcentral is "bacterial SSU rRNA". It matches the Rfam family "Bacterial small subunit ribosomal RNA", at positions 79 to 596 of the family's 1533-position model. Lineage: Bacteria; Pseudomonadati; Bacteroidota. The record is from RNAcentral.